AUAUCACUAAGCGGAGGAGAAGAAAUUAACUAAGAUUGCCCCAGUAACGGCGAGUGAAGCGGCAAGAGCCCAAAAUGUAAAUCUUGUGCACAUCGUGUACACGAAUUGUAAUCUAGAGAGAGUCUACUCAACGGGCGGUGGCGCAGAAGUGACCACGAACGGUCCGCCAGAGAGGGUGACAGCCCCGUAUGUGGUGCCACCGCUUAACGAGUGGGUUCUUGAAGAGUCGGGUUGUUUUGUAUUGCAGCCCUAAGUGGGAGAUAAACUUCUUCUAAGGCUAAAUAUAUAUGGGAGACCGAUAGCGCACAAGUA
RNAcentral lists this ribosomal RNA (312 nucleotides) under uncultured Sterkiella. RNAcentral describes it as "partial large subunit ribosomal RNA". It matches the Rfam family "Eukaryotic large subunit ribosomal RNA", at positions 40 to 350 of the family's 3401-position model. The record is from RNAcentral. Lineage: Eukaryota; Ciliophora; Spirotrichea; Sporadotrichida; Oxytrichidae.